This 103-nucleotide small nuclear RNA is filed under the name Cervus hanglu yarkandensis (Yarkand deer). Lineage: Eukaryota; Metazoa; Chordata; Mammalia; Artiodactyla; Cervidae. The record is from RNAcentral.
UCGCUUUGGCAGCAAAUAUACUAAAAUUGGAACGAUACAGAGAAGAUUAGCAUUGCCCCUGCACAAGGAUGACACGCAAAUUCGUGAAGCAUUCCAUAUUUUU